RNAcentral lists this long non-coding RNA (3220 nucleotides) under Salmo salar (Atlantic salmon). RNAcentral's name for it is "lncRNA (ENSSSAG00000105962.1)". The record is from RNAcentral. Lineage: Eukaryota; Metazoa; Chordata; Actinopteri; Salmoniformes; Salmonidae.
GCGUGAGAGCGAGCGACAGGGCAGGAGAGAGAGAGCGACAGGGAAGAAGAGAGAGAGCGACAGGGCAUUAGAGAGAGACAGACAGACAGAGAGGGGGAGAGGGAGAGCACACUACAUCUGAGAGGAAAGGCAUUCCUUUCGACUGACCAUGAGGAUGAUAAACUCCACUAACUCCUCACAGGAUUCAUGGAGAUACGAGUGGGAAUAUUACUACGAUUAUUUAGACCCAAUACCAGUGGACGAGCGCAAACUGAAAUAUAACAAGUACUUGAUCGUGAUCAUAUUCUGGAUCAGUCUGGCUGCUUUUGUGGGAUUCCUGUUUGUCAUUUUGACUUUCAUGUCCCGCUCAGUCAGUCUACCCAAAGCUCACAGUUCUAAAAAGGCCAAGAAAUCGUGGAGGAACCCUAGAUCCAAUUCUGCUUGAUGGAGAAUACUUGAUCUGUUUUCUGCUUUAUCCCAACCCCUCUGAAAGACACACACACACACACACACACACAUACACACACACACAUAUACACAUACACAUUGGGAGCAGAAGGCAGCCAGUGCAGAACCCAAAGAGCAAUUUUAGGGGUUAAGUACCCCAAGGACACACUGGCAGGAUAUGUCAUUUGGAACAUCACUGCUGUGGUCUGAUGGAAGAUUUCUCAACUCUUCAGAACGAUUAUAAAACAGAUGUAACAUCGACUAUCUGCAAUGUAAUAGCCUGGUUAUAAAGUGGGAUUCAAAUACAAGACCACACCAAAACGGUUUUACAACAUUUAAUAAAAGAGAAGUGAAUGUUUUCAACAAUAAAUGAAAUGAAUGACUUUACAUAACACACAACUUCUUUUAGAAAAUUCAGAUGCAAAAUAAUGAGGCUUCCAUUUUAUGAGUGAAUACCGUUUCAAAAUAAUGAGGCUUCCAUUUUAUGAGUGAAUACCGUUUUCAAAUUUGUACAAGUAUGCAUGCUGUAUUCUGAUUUGAGAUUCUCAGAAAAUGUCCUCUCUCACUAGACGUAAAUUGAUGAUUUGCACAAAAGUCUGAGUUGUGCACACUUAUCUCAACUCUGAAUCUACUGUAUGGAACUGUUCUCUAUUCCACACACACACACACACACACACACCAAACAUUAGGAACACCUUCCAAACAUUGAGUUUCUACCCCCCCCCCCCCCCCCUUGCCCAUAGAACAGCCUCAAUUCGUCGGGACGUGGGAGACUCUACAAGGUGUUAAAGCGUUCCACAGGGAUGCUGGCCCAUGUUGACUCUAAUGCUUCCCCACAGUUGUGUCAAAUUGGCUGGAUGUCCUUUAGGUGGUGGACCAUUCUUGAUACACACUGGACACUGUUGAGCAUGGAAAAACCCAGCAGCGUUGCAGUUCUUGAAACAAACCGGUGCGCCUGGCAAGUUACUACCAUACCCGUUCAAAGGAACUUAAAUAUUUUGUUGUUCCUAUUCACUCCCUGAUUGGCACACAAACACAAUGCUUCUUCAAUCUGUCUCCUCCCCUUCAUCUACACUGAUUUGAAGUGGAUUUAACAGGUGACAUCCAAUAAGGGAUCAUAGCUUUCACCUGGUCAGGAAAGAGCAGAUGUUCUUAAUGUUUUGUACACUCAGUGUAGUUCACUACUUUUUGACCAGAGACCACGAUGGGCCCUGGUUAAGAAAUAGUGUACUCAAUAGGGUGUAAUGUGGGCCACAGCUAUUUAACCCCUAUGGUGCAACAGUAGACUGCAGUCCUGAGAGGAGGUCACUACAGAUGGUUCUGAGGGCUGUGUGUGUCUGGGAAUGUCGUUUGGACUUUUUCUUCUGGUCCUUGGUCCCUAUAGAACCCUGGAUCUCGUUCACCACUCGGACGUGGUUCAGGAACAGCUCUGGGCUCUUCGCUCCGCUCCACAUCUCAUGGAUGUACAGAGACAGCAACAUCAGACCUUCUGGAGGAGGAGAUCAAGAUCAACAACAUAUGAGACGUGUCAUUUCCUUCCAUUUCCUUCAAUUUCCAAGCAACACAAGUGAUGCAACCAGUUUCAAUAUAACUCUUUUUUUCCCCUGGGAAUUUCUAUCUAUACCUGAUGUUAUUUUACAAACCACUGCAAUCUCCCCUGUUACGGUACAAUAAAUAUUGAAGAUAAAGUUAAUCUGAAUCGGUCAUCUUACCCUUCGUGGUCUGGUCAUCACAUGUUCUUCCUAGGGAGCAUGCUGUGAGCACGGCCCUGUGCAGGUCACUGUCAGCGCAGCCUCUGGCCUCCAGGAGUUGGGUCAUAAUGUUGGUGAACAGCUGGACGUGCUCUACCAUGGAAGAGAUCUGGGCCUGGGGCUGGGUCUGGGGCUCACAGGCCUGGUGAUAGAGACAGAGCAGGUCCAGUCUCACAGCAGGGUCAGCCAGCACCAUGUCCACUAUGACUCUGUGAGGAAGGACAGUCUUCUGGAACCAGCGAAGGAAGUGGACUGUCCUUUUGUCCUCGUAGGUGGAGGCUCCCUCUACCAAGGAGUUCAGGAACCACCUGGUGAGAAGAUGGGCUGUGGUGUUGGCCAGGGGGGUAGAGGUGGGAGUAUGGGGGUCAGGGGAGGGACAGCCAAGAGAGACAGGCACCCAGUGGGUAAAGAUAUUCCUGAGGUGAGGAGUACACUUCUCCAGCAGAGUCUUCUCCUCCUCUCGUCUCUCUACCUCUCCUUCCUCUCCCUGUUCAUUUGGUCGGGAGUUAGAACGGGCCUGGGCCUGGACAGAGGAGCUUCUUCCACGGCCUUUCUCCCUGCCCGACCCUGAGGAUGUACAGAAACACAAACAGACAUGUUGAUUCUGCUGUCAUAGACGAGGACUAGGGGGUGAAUAAUGCCAGGCUGAAACCAAUGCCAGUACAGAGGUUUGUCAAGGCAAGGUUCAUACACAUUUUGACAGAUGGAAUUUCAUGACUUUUCCAUGACUUUUAACCAAAUUUCCAUGACCAACAAUUGGCAGCGUCUCUAAGUACAUAGGGCGCCAUCCGUAAUUAUUGGGACAGUGACACAUUUUUGUUGUUUUGGCUCAGUACUCCAGCACUUUGGAUUUGAAAUCGUAACAAUGACUAUGAGGUUAAAGUGCAGGAUGCCAGCUUUAAUUCGAGGGUAUUUUUCCAUCCAUAUCGGGUGAAUCAUUUAGAAAUUACAGCACUUUUUGUACAUAGUCCACCACCAUUUUAGGGGACCAAAAGUAUUAGGACAAAUUGACUUACUGUAUAUGUGUAUUGAAGUAGUUAAAA